RNAcentral lists this ribosomal RNA (429 nucleotides) under Chloroflexota bacterium. Its description in RNAcentral is "Chloroflexi bacterium partial 16S ribosomal RNA". It matches the Rfam family "Bacterial small subunit ribosomal RNA", at positions 355 to 776 of the family's 1533-position model. The record is from RNAcentral. Lineage: Bacteria; Bacillati; Chloroflexota.
UGGGGAAUAUUGCACAAUGGGCGCAAGCCUGAUGCAGCCAUGCCGCGUGUAUGAAGAAGGCCUUCGGGUUGUAAAGUACUUUCAGUCGGGAGGAAGGUGGUAAGGUUAAUAACCUUAUCAAUUGACGUUACCGACAGAAGAAGCACCGGCUAACUCCGUGCCAGCAGCCGCGGUAAUACGGAGGGUGCAAGCGUUAAUCGGAAUUACUGGGCGUAAAGCGCACGCAGGCGGUUGAUUGAGUCAGAUGUGAAAUCCCCGGGCUUAACCCGGGAAUUGCAUCUGAUACUGGUCAGCUAGAGUCUUGUAGAGGGGGGUAGAAUUCCAUGUGUAGCGGUGAAAUGCGUAGAGAUGUGGAGGAAUACCGGUGGCGAAGGCGGCCCCCUGGACAAAGACUGACGCUGAGGCUCGAAAGCGUGGGGAGCAAACAGG